This 918-nucleotide ribosomal RNA is filed under the name Fusarium phaseoli. RNAcentral's name for it is "bacterial SSU rRNA". It matches the Rfam family "Eukaryotic small subunit ribosomal RNA", at positions 680 to 1571 of the family's 1831-position model. The record is from RNAcentral. Lineage: Eukaryota; Fungi; Ascomycota; Sordariomycetes; Hypocreales; Nectriaceae.
GGUCCGGCCGGGCCUUUCCCUCUGUGGAACCCCAUGCCCUUCACUGGGUGUGGCGGGGAAACAGGACUUUUACUGUGAAAAAAUUAGAGUGCUCCAGGCAGGCCUAUGCUCGAAUACAUUAGCAUGGAAUAAUAGAAUAGGACGUGUGGUUCUAUUUUGUUGGUUUCUAGGACCGCCGUAAUGAUUAAUAGGGACAGUCGGGGGCAUCAGUAUUCAAUUGUCAGAGGUGAAAUUCUUGGAUUUAUUGAAGACUAACUACUGCGAAAGCAUUUGCCAAGGAUGUUUUCAUUAAUCAGGAACGAAAGUUAGGGGAUCGAAGACGAUCAGAUACCGUCGUAGUCUUAACCAUAAACUAUGCCGACUAGGGAUCGGACGGUGUUAUAUUUUGACCUGUUCGGCACCUUACGAGAAAUCAAAGUGCUUGGGCUCCAGGGGGAGUAUGGUCGCAAGGCUGAAACUUAAAGAAAUUGACGGAAGGGCACCACCAGGGGUAAACUACAACGGUUUCUCGAAAGCCGCAGUUAACUCUGCUCCUAAAAGCCGCUCUAACGAGUUGAUGGUGUUCCCUGGCUCAGGCCUAAACUAAUGGCUAGUCUCCUCGGAGGCGACAUCCUCAAACUGCGGGAAACUCCUAAAGCUCACACUACCAAGCAGGCCUCGAAAGAGAGCUCUGUGGCCGGGGUAACGACCUAGGGUACGGUAAAAACGUGUGAGAUGCUACAGUGGACGAUCCGCAGCCAAGCCCCUACGUGCGCCAGCAUACGGGGAAGGUUCAGAGACUUGACGGGGGUGGGUGGGCUACAGGCCUGCCUAAGAUAAAGUCCGGCCCCGCGUGAAAGCGCUGGGGGUUACAACUGCUUCUGCACUAUUCGAAAUACUGCAUCGAGGCCCCAGUAAAACGGGAGCCUGCGGCUUAAU